Molecule: ribosomal RNA, 462 nt
Filed under: uncultured bacterium
Lineage: Bacteria
Description: partial 16S ribosomal RNA
Rfam family: Bacterial small subunit ribosomal RNA
Source: RNAcentral
GACGAACGCUGGCGGCGUGCUUAACACAUGCAAGUCGAGCGGAAAGGCCCUUCGGGGUACUCGAGCGGCGAACGGGUGAGUAACACGUGAGUAACCUGCACCAGACUUUGGGAUAACCCUCGGAAACGGGGGCUAAUACCGGAUACGACACAGCUUCGCAUGGGGUCUGUGUGGAAAGUUUUUCGGUUUGGGAUGGGCCCGCGGCCUAUCAGCUUGUUGGUGGGGUGAUGGCCUACCAAGGCGACGACGGGUAGCCGGCCUGAGAGGGCGACCGGCCACACUGGGACUGAGACACGGCCCAGACUCCUACGGGAGGCAGCAGUGGGGAAUAUUGCACAAUGGGCGGAAGCCUGAUGCAGCGACGCCGCGUGAGGGAUGACGGCCUUCGGGUUGUAAACCUCUUUCAGCAGGGACGAAGCGUAAGUGACGGUACCUGAAGAAGAAGCGCCGGCCAACUACGUG